GAGAGCGAGAGAGAGAGAGAGAGAGAGAGAGAGAGAGAGAGAGGCGCCCGAUUUUUAAUCAUGAAUACGGGCAGCUCUGCUCAUCAAAGGACCACUGACAGUACUGUCUAAUCUGUUCUCCUUUCCCAACUCCCUCCACUUCCUAUACAUCAUGCAGUUCCUCUAUCCUGCACAUGUACGCUGUACUGUGGUUCUCUCACAGUCCUCCACCUAUUGAGGGUGACUGUGUGUGUGUGUGUAUGCCAUUCUCAGAAACAUGUCAGCAUUGAGGCUUGUAAAAUAAAAGAUCUCCUCCCUUUUGCAGUAGCUCCCACAAGUAACUGGUGCAAUUCUGUUUCAGGUAAGGGUCACUAACCUCUCCCUUUUAAAAUGCUUUACGCGGUUGGCAUUUAAUCAAAGCAUGCACAGAAAACGAGAUUUACUCCAUGUCUCACCAACGAUGAAAAGAACACACAAUGCUCUUUCAUAAUCCCUCAGGGGGGUUUACGCUAAACCUUAAGAUUUGUUGAUUUCUUUUCAGGCUCAUCUCAUUUGUGGUAGGGGUCAGAUAAGGCUGAACUGGGGUUGGUUUGUGUGUGUGUGGGUGUAGGUGUGUGUGUGUGUGUGUGUGUGUGUGUGUGUGUGUGUGUGUGUGUGUGUGUGUGUGUGUGUGUGUGUGUGUGUGUGUGUGUGUGUGUGUGAGAAUGAAUAUACAUGUACAAUUGGGAUUUUUGAUGGAAUCGAAUUUAGCUUGCUGACUUUAAACAACAUGUCACGUUCCAACAGUUUCUAGUAUUGUGCCGCAUUGGUUGUAUCGACCAGGAUUUGCUACACAAGGAACAAUGGUCAUAUUUGACCUACAGGUGGAUGUGACCUGACAGUAUGAACCAUGUCAUUCACCACUAGGUACGAUCUUCAACAACACUGCACCCAAAAAGAUGCUUAAAAACUAUGCAGAAGAACACAGAUACUUCAAGUCAAGUUGAAUACAUAAUCAGACGACCCAAUCACCACACACACACCUCAGAACUGUUGAGGCGUCCAAACGGUUGCCAGUUCAUUCCCUGGCUCCGCUGCUGUCACAAACACGGAGCGCCAGCUCUCUGAUGGUGUCGACUCCCAUGCCAGAGCUGUCUGAUCCACUUCCAGGCAGCUUAUCGUCAUGUGAGGGGGAAGAAAAGGGGGAAAGAACAUACCGGAGGAAGAGAGACACAACCGGAGCUGUUGUCCGUGACUUCAAACCCCCAAUGGAAUUGAAUGCCGGAGUGUUUGUUUGUUUUGAGCGUUCCCCCUUUGGGACCCUGGGCUUGCACCCGGAGUUUGGAGGGGUGGGUUUAGCUGUGUCACAACUUCAAAGUCAAGGAUGUGAUGCAGACCUACUGACAGAGUUCCUGUCUUGUUUGAAAGGUUGAGUCCAUAAACUGUAACAUCGCAACUCACACGUCAUUUGUAUGAUGGCAAAUUGUUGAUUUAUGAGGUGAGAACAAUCGAAUCAAUUGAAACACAAUCUUUCAAUCUUUCACAAUCUGUCCCAUGAAGCCAAAUACCCCAUACAUACACCGUAUAAUUGGCAGGAAGAUCCCAUUCCUACAGGACAUCUACCACACACGAUGCCCCAAGAAAGCUGGCAGGAUUCUAAGAAACUGUUACCACCCAUCAUUUAGCCUUUUUACCCUGUUGUCUUCUGGCAGGCGAUACCGAAGCAUUUGGUCUCGCACACGCAGACUGGACAACAAUUUAUUUCCAAGGGCCAUCAAGCUUAUGAAUGAAUAUUCACAUGGACACUGAUACACUUCUCACUAGUCACUUUACACACAGUCAAUUUCAGCUACUGGUUGCAAAAUCAGCAA
Hypomesus transpacificus is the source of this 1829-nucleotide long non-coding RNA. RefSeq lists it as uncharacterized. The record is from RefSeq and is a predicted model, not a curated record. The transcript has 3 exons. Lineage: Eukaryota; Metazoa; Chordata; Actinopteri; Osmeriformes; Osmeridae.